GGUUCAGGACGAACGCUGGCGGCGUGCUUAACACAUGCAAGUCGAACGAGGAUAUACCAGAGGAGAGCUUCGGCAGGAAUCGGGAAUAUUCGAGUGGCGGACGGGUGAGUAACGCGUGAGCAACCUGUCCCAGACAGGGGGAUAACACUUGGAAACAGGUGCUAAUACCGCAUAAGACCACGGUAUCACAUGGUAGUGGGGUAAAAGGAGCAAUCCGGUUUGGGGUGGGCUCGCGUCCGAUUAGAUAGUUGGUGAGGUAACGGCCCACCAAGUCGACGAUCGGUAGCCGACCUGAGAGGGUGAUCGGCCACAUUGGAACUGAGAGGCGGUCCAAACUCCUACGGGAGGCAGCAGUGGGGAAUAUUGGGCAAUGGGCGAAAGCCUGACCCAGCAACGCCGCGUGAGUGAAGAAGGCCUUCGGGUUGUAAAGCUCUGUUAUAGUUGACGAAGGAAGUGACGGUAGGCUAUAAGGAAGCCCCGGCUAACUACGUGCCAGCCGCAGC
Molecule: ribosomal RNA, 503 nt
Filed under: uncultured bacterium
Lineage: Bacteria
Description: bacterial SSU rRNA
Rfam family: Bacterial small subunit ribosomal RNA
Source: RNAcentral